CCCUUUAAGCCAUGAGUCGACUCAUGGGGUCGACUCAAAAAUAAAAACAUGAUUUUCUUACAAAAUACACUUCCAAAAAUAUUGAAAUUUUCUCCAAUGGAUUGUACGUCUUCAGUUCUUGCUCUUGAAGCUUUUGAAUCAGGUCUUGACAAAAUUAUGAUUUUACCCCUGAAAUGCAAUAAAUCUUUUUUCAAGUCAGAAUCAUGAGUAACCUCCUCAAAUGCUUUGUAAUCAUCAAAAUCAAUUCAAGGAGCAACAGUAAUAUUUUUAUUUUUUUUUAUAAUUAGA
Molecule: long non-coding RNA, 288 nt
Filed under: Elaeis guineensis (African oil palm)
Lineage: Eukaryota; Viridiplantae; Streptophyta; Magnoliopsida; Arecales; Arecaceae
Description: long non-coding RNA (EGUI_LNC049044)
Source: RNAcentral